This 954-nucleotide ribosomal RNA is filed under the name Escherichia coli. RNAcentral describes it as "partial 23S ribosomal RNA". It matches the Rfam family "Bacterial large subunit ribosomal RNA", at positions 197 to 1191 of the family's 2925-position model. Lineage: Bacteria; Pseudomonadati; Pseudomonadota; Gammaproteobacteria; Enterobacterales; Enterobacteriaceae. The record is from RNAcentral.
AACAUCUAAGUACCCCGAGGAAAAGAAAUCAACCGAGAUUCCCCCAGUAGCGGCGAGCGAACGGGGAGCAGCCCAGAGCCUGAAUCAGUGUGUGUGUUAGUGGAAGCGUCUGGAAAGGCGCGCGAUACAGGGUGACAGCCCCGUACACAAAAAUGCACAUACUGUGAGCUCGAUGAGUAGGGCGGGACACGUGGUAUCCUGUCUGAAUAUGGGGGGACCAUCCUCCAAGGCUAAAUACUCCUGACUGACCGAUAGUGAACCAGUACCGUGAGGGAAAGGCGAAAAGAACCCCGGCGAGGGGAGUGAAAAAGAACCUGAAACCGUGUACGUACAAGCAGUGGGAGCACGCUUAGGCGUGUGACUGCGUACCUUUUGUAUAAUGGGUCAGCGACUUAUAUUCUGUAGCAAGGUUAACCGAAUAGGGGAGCCGAAGGGAAACCGAGUCUUAACUGGGCGUUAAGUUGCAGGGUAUAGACCCGAAACCCGGUGAUCUAGCCAUGGGCAGGUUGAAGGUUGGGUAACACUAACUGGAGGACCGAACCGACUAAUGUUGAAAAAUUAGCGGAUGACUUGUGGCUGGGGGUGAAAGGCCAAUCAAACCGGGAGAUAGCUGGUUCUCCCCGAAAGCUAUUUAGGUAGCGCCUCGUGAAUUCAUCUCCGGGGGUAGAGCACUGUUUCGGCAAGGGGGUCAUCCCGACUUACCAACCCGAUGCAAACUGCGAAUACCGGAGAAUGUUAUCACGGGAGACACACGGCGGGUGCUAACGUCCGUCGUGAAGAGGGAAACAACCCAGACCGCCAGCUAAGGUCCCAAAGUCAUGGUUAAGUGGGAAACGAUGUGGGAAGGCCCAGACAGCCAGGAUGUUGGCUUAGAAGCAGCCAUCAUUUAAAGAAAGCGUAAUAGCUCACUGGUCGAGUCGGCCUGCGCGGAAGAUGUAACGGGGCUAAACCAUG